Molecule: ribosomal RNA, 119 nt
Filed under: Pteropus alecto (black flying fox)
Lineage: Eukaryota; Metazoa; Chordata; Mammalia; Chiroptera; Pteropodidae
Source: RNAcentral
AUCUAUGGCCAUGCCACCCUCAACAUGCCAGAUCUUUUCUGAUCUCGGAAGCAAAGCAGGGUUCGGCCUGGUUAGUACUUGGAUGGGAGACCACCUAGGAAUACCAGGUGCUGUAGGCA